AACGAACGCUGGCGGCAUGCCUAACACAUGCAAGUCGAACGAGACCUUCGGGUCUAGUGGCGCACGGGUGCGUAACGCGUGGGAACCUGCCCUUAGGUUCGGAAUAACUCCCUGAAAGGGGUGCUAAUACCGGUUAAUGUCUUCGGACCAAAGAUUUAUCGCCUUUGGAUGGGCCCGCGUUGGAUUAGCUAGUUGGUAGGGUAAAAGCCUACCAAGGCGACGAUCCAUAGCUGGUCUGAGAGGAGGAUCAGCCACACUGGGACUGAGACACGGCCCAGACUCCUACGGGAGGCAGCGGUGGGGAAUAUUGGGCAAUGGGCGAAAGGCUGAUCCAGCAAGGCCGCGUGAGUGAUGAAGGCCUUAGGGUUGUAAAGCUCUUUUACCCGGGAUGAUAAUGACAGUACCGGGAGAAUAAGCACCGGCUAACUACGUG
RNAcentral lists this ribosomal RNA (433 nucleotides) under uncultured bacterium. RNAcentral describes it as "partial 16S ribosomal RNA". It matches the Rfam family "Bacterial small subunit ribosomal RNA", at positions 29 to 507 of the family's 1533-position model. The record is from RNAcentral.